This 830-nucleotide ribosomal RNA is filed under the name uncultured bacterium. RNAcentral describes it as "bacterial SSU rRNA". It matches the Rfam family "Bacterial small subunit ribosomal RNA", at positions 97 to 929 of the family's 1533-position model. The record is from RNAcentral.
GGCGCACGGGUGCGUAACACGUAUGCAACUUACCCUUUACUGGGGCAUAGCUCAGAGAAAUCUGAAUUAAUUCCCCAUAACGCUAUUGAGUCGCAUGACUCGAUAGCUAAAGUUCCGGCGGUAAAGGAUAGGCAUGCGCUGUAUUAGCUAGUUGGUGAGGUAAUGGCUCACCAAGGCUACGAUACAUAGGGGUUCUGAGAGGGCGAUCCCCCACACUGGUACUGAGACACGGACCAGACUCCUACGGGAGGCAGCAGUAGGGAAUAUUGGGCAAUGGUCGCAAGACUGACCCAGCCAUGCCGCGUGCAGGAAGACGGCCCUCUGGGUUGUAAACUGCUUUUAUCUGGGAAGAAAAAGUCCAUGCGUGGAAAAUUGCCGGUACCAGAUGAAUAAGCACCGGCUAACUCCGUGCCAGCAGCCGCGGUAAUACGGAGGGUGCAAGCGUUGUCCGGAUUUAUUGGGUUUAAAGGGUGCGUAGGCGGCUGAAUAAGUCAGCGGUGAAAGACUUCGGCUUAACCGGAGCAGUGCCGUUGAUACUGUUUAGCUUGAGUGUUGGAGGGGUACAUGGAAUUGAUGGUGUAGCGGUGAAAUGCAUAGAUACCAUCAGGAACACCGAUAGCGAAGGCAUUGUACUGGCCAACAACUGACGCUGAGGCACGAAAGUGUGGGGAUCGAACAGGAUUAGAUACCCUGGUAGUCCACACCGUAAACGAUGAUUACUCGCUGUUAUGGUGUAUGCUGUAGCGGCCAAGCGAAAGCGUUAAGUAAUCCACCUGGGGAGUACGCCGGCAACGGUGAAACUCAAAGGAAUUGACGGGGGUCCGCACAAG